CAAUAGCGUAUAUUAAAGUUGUUGCGGUUAAAAAGCUCGUAGUUGGAUUUCUGCCGAGGACGACCGGUCCGCCCUCUGGGUGAGUAUCUGGUUCGGCCUGGGCAUCUUCUUGGAGAACGUAUCUGCACUUGACUGUGUGGUGCGGUAUCCAGGACUUUUACUUUGAAAAAUUAAGAGUGUUCAAAGACAGGCAUUCGCUUGAAUAUCUCAGCAUGGAAUAAUAGAAUAGGACUUUGGUCUUAUUUUGUUGGUUUCCGAGACCGAAGUAAUGAUUAAUAGGGACAGUUGGGGGCGAUUCUAUUUCAUUGUCAGAGGUGAAAUUCUUGGAUUUAUGAAAGACGAACUUCUGCGAAAGCAUUUGCCAAGGAUGUUUUCAUUAAUCAAGAACGAAAGUUGGAGGCUCGAAGACGAUUAGAUACCAU
This 422-nucleotide ribosomal RNA is filed under the name uncultured eukaryote. Its description in RNAcentral is "bacterial SSU rRNA". It matches the Rfam family "Eukaryotic small subunit ribosomal RNA", at positions 592 to 1018 of the family's 1831-position model. The record is from RNAcentral.